This 677-nucleotide ribosomal RNA is filed under the name uncultured beta proteobacterium. Its description in RNAcentral is "SSU rRNA". It matches the Rfam family "Bacterial small subunit ribosomal RNA", at positions 245 to 915 of the family's 1533-position model. The record is from RNAcentral. Lineage: Bacteria; Pseudomonadati; Pseudomonadota; Betaproteobacteria.
CUAGUUGGUGGGGUAAAGGCCUACCAAGGCAUCGAUCAGUAGCUGGUCUGAGAGGACGACCAGCCACACUGGAACUGAGGCACGGUCCAGACUCCUACGGGAGGCAGCAGUGGGGAAUUUUGGACAAUGGGCGAAAGCCUGAUCCAGCAAUGCCGCGUGAGUGAAGAAGGCCUUCGGGUUGUAAAGCUCUUUUGUCAGGGAAGAAACGGUGAGGGCUAAUAUCCCUUGCUAAUGACGGUACCUGAAGAAUAAGCACCGGCUAACUACGUGCCAGCAGCCGCGGUAAUACGUAGGGUGCAAGCGUUAAUCGGAAUUACUGGGCGUAAAGCGUGCGCAGGCGGUUUUGUAAGUCUGUCGUGAAAUCCCCGGGCUCAACCUGGGAAUUGCGAUGGAGACUGCAAGGCUAGAAUCUGGCAGAGGGGGGUAGAAUUCCACGUGUAGCAGUGAAAUGCGUAGAGAUGUGGAGGAACACCGAUGGCGAAGGCAGCCCCCUGGGUCAAGAUUGACGCUCAUGCACGAAAGCGUGGGGAGCAAACAGGAUUAGAUACCCUGGUAGUCCACGCCCUAAACGAUGUCUACUAGUUGUCGGGUUUUAAUUAACUUGGUAACGCAGCUAACGCGUGAAGUAGACCGCCUGGGGAGUACGGUCGCAAGAUUAAAACUCAAAGGAAUUGACG